AUCCAGGUGAGGAGUACCAAAUAGAACGACACGUGCGUCCUGGAU
This is a non-coding RNA of Schistosoma mattheei, 45 nucleotides long. The record is from Rfam. NCBI's taxonomy places the organism in Eukaryota, Metazoa, Platyhelminthes, Trematoda, Strigeidida, Schistosomatidae.